Molecule: ribosomal RNA, 468 nt
Filed under: uncultured bacterium
Lineage: Bacteria
Description: partial 16S ribosomal RNA
Rfam family: Bacterial small subunit ribosomal RNA
Source: RNAcentral
GACGAACGCUGGCGGCGUGCUUAACACAUGCAAGUCGAACGGAAAGGCCCUGCUUUUGUGGGGUGCUCGAGUGGCGAACGGGUGAGUAACACGUGAGUAACCUGCCCUUGACUUUGGGAUAACUUCAGGAAACUGGGGCUAAUACCGGAUAGGAGCUCCUGCUGCAUGGUGGGGGUUGGAAAGUUUCGGCGGUUGGGGAUGGACUCGCGGCUUAUCAGCUUGUUGGUGGGGUAGUGGCUUACCAAGGCUUUGACGGGUAGCCGGCCUGAGAGGGUGACCGGCCACAUUGGGACUGAGGGACGGCCCAGACGCCUACGGGAGGCAGCAGUGGGGAAUAUUGCACAAUGGGCGGAAGCCUGAGACAGCAACGCCGCGUGCGGGAUGACGGCCUUCGGGUUGUAAACCGCUUUCGCCUGUGACGAAGCGGGAGUGACGGUAAUGGGUAAAGAAGCACCGGCUAACUACGUG